This 424-nucleotide ribosomal RNA is filed under the name uncultured bacterium. RNAcentral describes it as "bacterial SSU rRNA". It matches the Rfam family "Bacterial small subunit ribosomal RNA", at positions 358 to 773 of the family's 1533-position model. The record is from RNAcentral.
GGAAUAUUGCGCAAUGGGGGCAACCCUGACGCAGCGACGCCGCGUGGAUGAUGAAGGCCUUCGGGUCGUAAAAUCCUGUCAGGUGGAAAGAAGUGCACGGCGGUUAAUACCCGCUGUGCUUGACGGUACCACCGAAGGAAGCACCGGCUAACUCCGUGCCAGCAGCCGCGGUAAUACGGAGGGUGCAAGCGUUGUUCGGAAUUACUGGGCGUAAAGCGCGCGUAGGCGGUUUGCUAAGUCAGAUGUGAAAGCCCUCGGCUCAACCGGGGACGUGCAUUUGAAACUGGCAGACUUGAGUACUGGAGGGGGUGGUGGAAUUCCCGGUGUAGAGGUGAAAUUCGUAGAUAUCGGGAGGAAUACCGGUGGCGAAGGCGACCACCUGGCCAGAUACUGACGCUGAGGUGCGAAAGCGUGGGGAGCAAAC